GACGAACGCUGGCGGCGUGCUUAACACAUGCAAGUCGAACGGAAAGGCCCUGCUUUUGUGGGGUGCUCGAGUGGCGAACGGGUGAGUGACACGUGAGUAACCUGCCCUUGACUUUGGGAUAACUUCAGGAAACUGGGGCUAAUACCGGAUAGGAGCUCCUGCUGCAUGGUGGGGGUUGGAAAGUUUCGGCGGUUGGGGAUGGACUCGCGGCUUAUCAGCUUGUUGGUGGGGUAGUGGCUUACCAAGGCUUUGACGGGUAGCCGGCCUGAGAGGGUGACCGGCCACAUUGGGACUGAGAUACGGCCCAGACUCCUACGGGAGGCAGCAGUGGGGAAUAUUGCACAAUAGGCGGAAGCCUGAUGCAGCAACGCCGCGUGCGGGAUGACGGCCUUCGGGUUGUAAACCGCUUUCGCCUGUGACGAAGCGUGAGUGACGGUAAUGGGUAAAGAAGCACCGGCUAACUACGUG
RNAcentral lists this ribosomal RNA (468 nucleotides) under uncultured bacterium. Its description in RNAcentral is "partial 16S ribosomal RNA". It matches the Rfam family "Bacterial small subunit ribosomal RNA", at positions 28 to 507 of the family's 1533-position model. The record is from RNAcentral.